GACGAACGCUGGCGGCGUGCCUAAUACAUGCAAGUAGAACGCUGAAGAGAGGAGCUUGCUCUUCUUGGAUGAGUUGCGAACGGGUGAGUAACGCGUAGGUAACCUGCCUGGUAGCGGGGGAUAACUAUUGGAAACGAUAGCUAAUACCGCAUAAAAUUGAUUAUUGCAUGAUAAUUAAUUGAAAGAUGCAACUGCAUCACUACCAGAUGGACCUGCGUUGUAUUAGCUAGUUGGUGAGGUAACGGCUCACCAAGGCGACGAUACAUAGCCGACCUGAGAGGGUGAUCGGCCACACUGGGACUGAGACACGGCCCAGACUCCUACGGGAGGCAGCAGUAGGGAAUCUUCGGCAAUGGGGGGAACCCUGACCGAGCAACGCCGCGUGAGUGAAGAAGGUUUUCGGAUCGUAAAGCUCUGUUGUAAGAGAAGAACGGGUGUGAGAGUGGAAAGUUCACACUGUGGCGGUAUCUUACCAGAAAGGGACGGCUAACUACGUG
RNAcentral lists this ribosomal RNA (497 nucleotides) under uncultured bacterium. RNAcentral describes it as "partial 16S ribosomal RNA". It matches the Rfam family "Bacterial small subunit ribosomal RNA", at positions 28 to 507 of the family's 1533-position model. The record is from RNAcentral.